Molecule: ribosomal RNA, 260 nt
Filed under: Clostridioides difficile
Lineage: Bacteria; Bacillati; Bacillota; Clostridia; Peptostreptococcales; Peptostreptococcaceae
Description: partial 23S ribosomal RNA
Rfam family: Bacterial large subunit ribosomal RNA
Source: RNAcentral
GCUGAUUUCACACUGUCAAGAAAAGUCUCUAUCGAGGUUAAAGGUACCCGUACCGCAAACCGACACAGGUGGGUGAGGAGAGUAUCCUAAGGCCAGCGAGAGAACUGUUGUUAAGGAACUCGGCAAAAUGACCCCGUAACUUAGGGAUAAGGGGUGCCGCCAUCAGGUGGCCGCAGAGAAUAGGCCCAAGCGACUGUUUACCAAAAACAUAGGUUUCUGCUAAGUCGCAAGACGAUGUAUAGGAGCUGACGCCUGCCCGG